AUGGAGCCGACCUUGAAAUACCACCCUUUAAUGUUUGAUGUUCUAACGUUGACCCGUAAUCCGGGUUGCGGACAGUGUCUGGUGGGUAGUUUGACUGGGGCGGUCUCCUCCUAAAGAGUAACGGAGGAGCACGAAGGUUGGCUAAUCCUGGUCGGACAUCAGGAGGUUAGUGCAAUGGCAUAAGCCAGCUUGACUGCGAGCGUGACGGCGCGAGCAGGUGCGAAAGCAGGUCAUAGUGAUCCGGUGGUUCUGAAUGGAAGGGCCAUCGCUCAACGGAUAAAAGGUACUCCGGGGAUAACAGGCUGAUACCGCCCAAGAGUUCAUAUCGACGGCGGUGUUUGGCACCUCGAUGUCGGCUCAUCACAUCCUGGGGCUGAAGUAGGUCCCAAGGGUAUGGCUGUUCGCCAUUUAAAGUGGUACGCGAGCUGGGUUUAGAACGUCGUGAGACAGUUCGGUCCCUAUCUGCCGUGGGCGCUGGAGAACUGAGGGGGGCUGCUCCUAGUACGAGAGGACCGGAGUGGACGCAUCACUGGUGUUCGGGUUGUCAUGCCAAUGGCACUGCCCGGUAGCUAAAUGCGGAAGAGAUAAGUGCUGAAAGCAUCUAAGCACGAAACUUGCCC
RNAcentral lists this ribosomal RNA (620 nucleotides) under Escherichia coli. RNAcentral's name for it is "partial 23S ribosomal RNA". It matches the Rfam family "Bacterial large subunit ribosomal RNA", at positions 2180 to 2799 of the family's 2925-position model. The record is from RNAcentral. Lineage: Bacteria; Pseudomonadati; Pseudomonadota; Gammaproteobacteria; Enterobacterales; Enterobacteriaceae.